UUGAUACUUGACACUCAAGCUGAAGUGUUUAUAUGGAUUGGUCAAUCCGUUGACCCCAAAGAAAAGCAAAAUGCUUGGGAAAUUGGUCAGAAAUAUGUGGAGCUGGCUGCAUCUCUAGAGGGAUUGUCUCCCAAUGUGCCGUUAUAUAAAGUCUCUGAAGGAAAUGAACCAUGCUUCUUCACAACAUACUUUUCAUGGGAUUAUACUAAGGCUGUUGUUCAAGGGAACUCAUUCCAAAAAAAGGUGACUUUACUCUUUGGCAUUGGACAUGUUGUGGAGGAAAAGUCGAAUGGGAA
This 296-nucleotide unclassified non-coding RNA is filed under the name Hevea brasiliensis (rubber tree). The record is from RNAcentral. Lineage: Eukaryota; Viridiplantae; Streptophyta; Magnoliopsida; Malpighiales; Euphorbiaceae.